AGGACGAACGCUGGCGGCGUGCUUAACACAUGCAAGUCGAGCGGAAAGGCCCUUCCGGGGGUACUCGAGCGGCGAACGGGUGAGUAACACGUGAGUAACCUGCCCUUGGCUUUGGGAUAACCCUCGGAAACGGGGGCUAAUACCGAAUAUUCACUGCUCCUCGCAUGGGGGGUGGUGGAAAGAUUUUUUGGCUGGGGAUGGGCUCGCGGCCUAUCAGCUUGUUGGUGGGGUGAUGGCCUACCAAGGCGACGACGGGUA
This 258-nucleotide ribosomal RNA is filed under the name uncultured bacterium. RNAcentral's name for it is "partial small subunit ribosomal RNA". It matches the Rfam family "Bacterial small subunit ribosomal RNA", at positions 26 to 285 of the family's 1533-position model. The record is from RNAcentral.